This 253-nucleotide ribosomal RNA is filed under the name uncultured bacterium. RNAcentral's name for it is "partial 16S ribosomal RNA". It matches the Rfam family "Bacterial small subunit ribosomal RNA", at positions 524 to 776 of the family's 1533-position model. The record is from RNAcentral.
UACGGAGGAGGCAAGCGUUAUCCGGAAUUAUUGGGCGUAAAGCGUCCGCAGGUGGCACCUCAAGUCUGCUGUCAAAGACCGGGGCUUAACCCCAGAAAGGCAGUGGAAACUGAAGUGCUAGAGUGCAGUAGGGGUAGAGGGAAUUCCCGGUGUAGCGGUGAAAUGCGUAGAGAUCGGGAAGAACAUCGGUGGCGAAAGCGCUCUACUGGACCGCAACUGACACUCAGGGACGAAAGCUAGGGGAGCGAAUGGG